ACGAACGCUGGCGGCAUGCCUAACACAUGCCAGUCGAACGAGACCUUCGGGUCUAGUGGCGCACGGGUGCGUAACGCGUGGGAACCUGCCCUUAGGUUCGGAAUAACUCCCCGAAGGGGGUGCUAAUACCGGAUAAUGUCUUCGGACCAAAGAUUUAUCGCCUUUGGAUGGGCCCGCGUUGGAUUAGCUAGUUGGUAGGGUAAAAGCCUACCAAGGCGACGAUCCAUAGCUGGUCUGAGAGGAUGAUCAGCCACACUGGGACUGAGACACGGCCCAGACUCCUACGGGAGGCAGCAGUGGGGAAUAUUGGACAAUGGGCGAAAGCCUGAUCCAGCAAUGCCGCGUGAGUGAUGAAGGCCUUAGGGUUGUAAAGCUCUUUUACCCGGGAUGAUAAUGACAGUACCGGGAGAAUAAGCUCCGGCUAACUCCGUG
This 432-nucleotide ribosomal RNA is filed under the name uncultured bacterium. RNAcentral describes it as "partial 16S ribosomal RNA". It matches the Rfam family "Bacterial small subunit ribosomal RNA", at positions 29 to 507 of the family's 1533-position model. The record is from RNAcentral.